Podospora anserina S mat+ is the source of this 123-nucleotide non-coding RNA. NCBI's taxonomy places the organism in Eukaryota, Fungi, Ascomycota, Sordariomycetes, Sordariales, Podosporaceae. The record is from the annotation of a RefSeq genome assembly.
GCCUGUGUGGUGUAGUGGUUUUCAUUCCAUGAGGUAAUUUGAAGCGGGUUGUGGGAUUUAUCGAGUGUUGGAUUACUUAGCUCCCUACCUCAUGGGGCUCAGGCUCGAUUCCUGGCGCGGGCA